CUCAUGGCAUAAUAUACCGAAAUUUAUUAAGUGCUCGCAGAGCCGCAAGCAGUAUAUUUUGCAUGUUGAGUUGUACCUUCAUUUUAAAUAAUACUCUUUACAUUUGGCACCUUUUUCUCCUGGGAUUUGACCUUCGGUUCACUUACUACUUCUAAAGUCCAUGAGCUUCUCCUGUUGUGCGCCUCCUAAAAUUUUUUCUUUCCAAACACAAGCUGUAUUUACAGGUCCAGCCAGUAGGUGUCACUAAAAUCCACGUGGACGGAAUAGGAGUAUGGAACAUGGCACCACCUUAAUUCAUAUCACUUUUCACAAGGUUUGAGGCCUGAGCCUUGUUCUGGAGUCGCUGGGCUGAGCCGGCCGUGCCUCGACCUGCCGGCGACAGAAUGAAAUCUUCUCUCUCCGAAGUGGUUUAUUAAAGAGAAGGACACGAAAGGGAGCGAGGCCUGACACAAUAAAGCAGAUGGACGCCCUUCUUCCCUGGGUCGGUCCCCUUGGACGUUUUGCCGUCCGACGGCAAAGUGGCCGUUGUGGCGUGGAGCUGUUGAAGGGUACAACGUGGACAGGGUGCCAGUCCGUGCCCAGGACGAGACGUCGGUCCGUUGCAAGGCAGCCCCAGGAAGGCUCGAAUCCCAGACCCGCCACACAGCGGGCACCGGUUGAACCUGCCAUGCCACCACACUUGUCCCUCCCCCCACUAAAGCAAAAGUCAACUCAAUUUAUUGCCAUGAAGCACUUCUCUCAGCUUGCUGAGUAACUGUGUGUUGAACAAUAGAGCAUGGAUUGUUGACACAUUACUGACAAAAAAAUAGACAAACUAAACACAGAAUCCAGUAUACAAACACACUGCAAUGCACCAUCUGGCAACUGAGGAGAGGAAAAUAAAAAAAAAACAACCUGGCA
This 900-nucleotide long non-coding RNA is filed under the name Scleropages formosus (Asian bonytongue). Its description in RNAcentral is "lncRNA (ENSSFOG00015030313.1)". Lineage: Eukaryota; Metazoa; Chordata; Actinopteri; Osteoglossiformes; Osteoglossidae. The record is from RNAcentral.